UUUUUGAAAUUAUCAUCUUUCCUUAUUAACUACAAUACUUACCUGAACAAGGGGUUGUUCCUCCAUUGCCCGUAUUACAUUUAGGAAGGAGACCUUUCUCCAAAUCAAUUUCAUUAUCAUUUCCUGAGUGCACACUCAAUUCAUCUGCAGAAUCCUCAAUGGGAGCAUAAGAACCACUCAUUUUUAGCAUUUGGACGAAAAAUAUAAGAUUAGAUCACAGAAUUGCAAGAAUCAAAAUUGUUGA
Molecule: non-coding RNA, 244 nt
Organism: Schizosaccharomyces pombe (fission yeast)
Lineage: Eukaryota; Fungi; Ascomycota; Schizosaccharomycetes; Schizosaccharomycetales; Schizosaccharomycetaceae
Source: the annotation of a GenBank genome assembly